UGCCAGCAGCCGCGGUAAGGCGAACCGUCCAAACGUUAUUCGGAAUUACUGGGCUUAAAGGGUACGUAGGCGGUGCGGUAAGUUGGAUGUGAAAUCCCACGGCUCAACCGUGGAACUGCGUUCAAUACUGCCGUGCUUGAGGGAGACAGAGGCGAGCGGAACUGAUGGUGGAGCGGUGAAAUGCGUUGAUAUCAUCAGGAACACCCGUGGCGAAAGCGGCUCGCUGGGUCUCUUCUGACGCUGAGGUACGAAAGCUAGGGGAGCGAACGGGAUUAGAUA
Molecule: ribosomal RNA, 279 nt
Filed under: uncultured bacterium
Lineage: Bacteria
Description: partial 16S ribosomal RNA
Rfam family: Bacterial small subunit ribosomal RNA
Source: RNAcentral